CAUUGUGUAGGCUGUAUCAUGUACGGAUUGUCUGCUGCUUCUUUAAGUUCUCCAUUGAAACAGAAUGAGGAAGAGAUAGAUUCAUUGCGGAUACAAGUACAUGAGUUGUUGAAAAAGCAAAAAGCAGACCGUUUAAGACUUGCUGGACUGGAGAAUCUAGUGCAUCAUCUCAUAGACAAUUUUUGAUCUGAUGAUGAUGACUCUGAUGGGGAGAAUUAGUUUGUUGUGGUUGUGAUGUUGGAACAUUUACUUGUUUGAUUUCGUUGGGAUAUUACCUGAAUGGUGUCUGAAUGUCUAGACUUGCUUUUGGAUGUCACUUGAAUGGUGCUUGGAUGUUUUGGACUUCCUUUUGGAUGUUUUAGUUAUAAACAUGUUUAAUUUUUGGAAUUUUAGGAGGUUUGAUUGUUGGGCACAAAAUUGUGGUAAAGAAUCUCAAAAAGAUCUCUUCGGAAAGGAACAGUAUCAGAGCCAACUUGCUGCCUCUUAGCAGGAGAUGUCUUUACCAAAAAGUUCAGUUAUUCCUUUAGUAGGAUCCUGCUGUUUUACAAGCGACUCACCAACUAGCACCUACAGAGAUGCAACAACAAUAUCACCAUAUAUGAAUUAUGAUGGACAAGGACAAGGGUAAGGGUAUAAACAAACUACAUCAUUGAUCAGAAUGCACUUAUCAUAGUAGUUGAUGAUAACAUGAUUGUCAAAUGAAGACCAGGCAAAACCAUAUUAGCAGGAGUAAAUAAUUAUACGCAGUUAUCAUUGUGAACUUCUAAAUUAGAAAAGAAGCUUACCGGUUAGACAUCAGCUUCUUGUACAUAACCAAUAUCAGCUGGAGUAAAUAGUCCAGACUCCCCAACCACCUGAAGAACUUAAGUGGCAGUGAAGUCACAACUUAGUGAGAGAGCAAAACUACUAAACAAAAGCUUCCAUGACGUACAAUUAUGCCCUUUUGAGUAUCAAAGUUGAUGAAAUCUAUCAACUCUUGGAGGUCAGUGUAUGGAGUGUCUUGUUUCGAGCCCCUAAAUUUACCGUUCUCGUUGAUGUCAAUUAAUCUAGAUACAAACCUGUGACCACAUUGACAAAAAGAGUAGUUAAAAAUUGACAAAACAGCAACCAUAUUACCAUAAGCAGAGCAGUUAGCUCUUCUAAGCUCAAGCCUUUUCUUUUGUGAUCAAAUAAGUAAGUUUUCUAAGCUCAAGUUUUUCCCCAUAAUAGAACACAGAACAGAAGCAAUAAGAUCUGAUCAAAGCAACCUUGUCAUCAGCAAUGCUUAAGCAUAAAUUGUUCCCUCAGUUUAAAGACAAAAGUUGAAGUCAUUUAGGAGCGUAAUUGUACUCAACCAAAUAUAGUACACACCAAACCAUCCAUACCUUGCAUAUCAAUUUCAACUGAAGAGUAAUAAUCACCUGUAGAAGGAGUCAGAGUUGUGAUUCAUACAGCAAAUGAGGUUGUUUGCUCCAAAGUUUCUCGCAACAGACUAGCUUCUUGGUAUCUCCCAGUAAGUGCAACAUGACCUCCAUGUCCAUACCUUAAGGCACAUCAACUUUUACUCCAUCUACACCACUGCUUGUAAGAUAACUAUGAAGAUCAUUGUAAAAAUAAAAAAUCCUCCGCGGAUAGAUUACACCAACUCCAAAUUUUUCCAAGCUGUCCAUAGCUAUAUCUCGAAAAUAUCCUGUGUUACCAGGUGAUUGAAUUGGAUACUCGAUCUUUGGGUUGUAUUUCCUCAUAGUUUCAGAUGACGGAUGCAACCCUUCCUAGUAACCAAGCCAAGCGUGCCAGACAUAUACAUACAACAAUACAUGCAUAUAAAUGUUUAAGUGCUUCAAAAAUGCAAACUUCAGCUUCUCCAAUUUCCAUCCUGAAGAAUAAUGAAAUCUUGUUGAACCCUACACUCACUUAAUCCAUUGGUGGUUUGCACAUUUGAAUCACCUAAAACUAGUUAUUUGAUCCAUAAUUAAUACUAUUAUAACAUGAGGAUAUACGAAACAGGUUGGCACUGAUGAAUAUAAUGAAGUGAGUUUCGACAAUGGAAUUAACAGAGGAAGAAGCCAUUUCAGAAGAAGUACACCAAAUUAAAAACUUUUGGUAUUCCGACGGAAAAAACCGACGUAAAGAUUGCGAAAAUCGAGGUUGUAUUUAUAACUGAUUACCGACUACAAUUUUCCGACGUCAAGAGGUCGAAAAACUUAUAGUAUUUAUAUUGGGAGCAAACCCUCAUUUCUCACCUCUCUCUUCCUUGCCUCACUCUUUUUCUCUACUCCGAUUCACCUCUUACGACAGCCAAAGAAAGCCGUCCAGUCGGGACUCCGUUCACGGCGGCACCACUGCUCAGUCGAGGUUAAGUGUAUUUUUCCUUCCACUUUUAAGGUUUAUUUCUAUGAGAUUUUUUUUAAUAGAUCUGGAUAGAUAUCACCAUUUUCUUCAAUGUUCCAUGAAGAAUUUAGCUUUGAUUUAGUUUUCUUUUUCUUUCUGGGUUUUGCUCAUAUGAAAAUAUUAACUUGAAUCUUUAUAGUCUCUGCUUUGACUAAUUAACUUCUGAACUUUGUUUAUUGUAUUUAGUAAUGAUUUUGAAACUUUGUUAAUUUCAUCUAACACAAAAGAUAGAACCAUCUAUGUAUAUUUUCCGGGUGACUGAGCGACAAUUUUUCAUUACCCGGAAAGAUGUUUCGUUCAUGAAGUGGCUAUUGAUUUCUAACAGAGAAGUAGCAGACUAGUGAAAAAAACGAUAGUUGGUUUCUCAACUGAUGUCUAUACCCACAUUAGAGCCCAACUAAUCAAAUGAAUCUAUGAAGAACUUAUCCGUCAGUCUUUACUCGUACCUCAAAUCAACAAGAUUUUGAGGAAGAUACAUCCAUGCCAGUCAAGAAUGGAGAUUCAAUGGAUGAACAUAAAACAAGCGAGAAAUAAUUACUCGAUGAAAAUGAAACUAGCAGUGAAAAAAAAUUAAUGAUCAAUUUAAAGCAAACUGGGGAAAAAUUAUUACUGUUAGUUUUUUUAUGUUCUUUAUUCAUAUAAUAAGUUGAAGAAGUAACAACUAUAUUAAUAUUCUUAAAUUAUUGUAUUUUUUUUACUGUGCUUGUAUUAUACAGAUGGCAUCUCAGGAAAACAAUCGUCCACAAAGUACUAGUGCAGUGAGACGUAAAUCUAAGGGAAAGAAAAAAGUUUCCGAGACUACAGGUUACACUACCUCUCUACUCUACUUAUACGCCUCUUACAUGUAUUCAGAAGUCUUUUCGAAAUACAAUCAUUUGAAAUGAUUAAAAUCAUGCAUGAACACAAUCUUUAAAUCAACACCUUUCGAUAAAUGAAAUGUUUUAUUCAUGCAUGUCAUAUGAGAGGAGAUGUGGAGUUGUCCUAUUCAUGCGGCUCAUGCUGCUCGAGCUUUUUCCUCAAAGAUUCUGAUAUUUCUUUCUAUCCACAAGAUAUGAAUGAAUUUUGUUUAUACUGUUUUCAGAGCUUUUGCUAUUUUGGUCUUCCUUUAAUCUAUUGAAAGCAGUUGGUCCAAGUAGUUGGUAUGACAUAGUAUAACUGCAUCAGCUGCUGAGUAAUUUGGCACACAUUUAGUCACCAAACAAUCAACUGUUAGCAGUCUGCCCUGGCAUUGCAAAUUUGCAAUCAUAUUGUAAUUUUGCAUUGGAUCUUCCAUAAUUCUGAAACAUUAAUCCUCUCCGAUUCUUGUUAUCUGGCAGUAGUUACAACUUACAAGUAAAUCUGGUGGAUUAGACUUUUAUGGGAUAUGAAUUGUAAACUUGCCCCUUAGGCACAUUGAACUGUCCCAAGGUCUUCUUGUCCUUGUGUGGACCCUCACAUACUUUGAGGCGAGAAUACAUUGUAUUCUUAAGCUCAUAAUUUUUCCGAAUUAAUUAUUAAAAUGUAUGAAUCUUUACGGGAACACAGAGUCAAAAGUUUGUACAGGUUGGAGCGCUGGAUGCUUUGGGGAGGCUGGUUAUUGCUCCCGCUGGAACUAUUGGGUAAACAACAGUACUUCUGUUAGUUUUUAGUUAUUGAAUAUAUGUUUUUACAUGCUUUAAAUUCAAUGCAGGUUUAUUCCCGGCUUAGAAUCUGCAGAUGCGAUUAUGGGUUCCAUUGUAUCAUUUUAUCGAGAUGCUUGGAGUUCCUGGGAAGAGGUACCUGUCUAUGACAGAGAACAAAUGUGGAAUCACUUCAAGGUACAAAUAGAAAAAAAAUCUUUAUAUUAUUUAUCAAAUUACUUAUUUCAUCUAAUGUUAUAAAUUAUUUGCAGACACAGUGUGCAUGGUGUCCCGAACAUGAAUAUCAUAUAUUUUGUAAUUUUGAGAUAAACGCUGCUUUUUUGCAAAUAAAACCUUGGAGAGUGCUCGGGAAAUGAAUGAGAAGCCCGAUUGGAGGCUAGAAGGUUUAUGGGUUAGACUUGUUGAAAAGUGGACCACUGAGAAAUUUCAAAAGCCGAGCAUCCAACCAAAGGCACCAAGGACUCAUCAAAGGAUAUUGGUAAAUUGUUUAUUAUAUUUUCCUUGAUUUUAACUAAAUGCGAUUGAACUUUUAACCAACUCAUAUUUUUUGUUUUGCAGGAAAAGAAAAAAGGGAGAACUAUGGGUCAUGAUGAAGCUUCAAUAUUGUCAAAGAAGAUUGGUGAAGUAAAGAAACGUAAAGCACGUGGUCUUGGAUCCGACCAUUGCACAGGUUGUAUCAUGUACGGGUUUAUUGCUGCUUCUUUAGAUUCUUCGCAGAAUCAGGAAGAGAUAGAUUCAGAAAUAGAUUCAUUGCGAAUACAAGUACAAGAAUUGUUGAAAAAGCAAAAAGCAGACCGUUCAAGACUUGAUGGACUGGAGAAUCUAGUGGUUCAGCUCAUAGAUAAUUGCCGAUCUGAAGAGUCUGACGAUGAUAAGUCUGAUGGAGAGAAUUAGUUUGUUGUGCUUGUGAUGUUGGAACAUUUACUUGUUUGAUUUCGUUGGAUAUUACCUGAAUGGUGUCUGAAU
This 4955-nucleotide long non-coding RNA is filed under the name Solanum tuberosum (potato). Its description in RNAcentral is "long non-coding RNA (STUB_LNC004073)". The record is from RNAcentral. Lineage: Eukaryota; Viridiplantae; Streptophyta; Magnoliopsida; Solanales; Solanaceae.